GAUGAACGCUGGCGGCGUGCCUAAUACAUGCAAGUCGAGCGAACAGACGAGGAGCUUGCUCCUCUGACGUUAGCGGCGGACGGGUGAGUAACACGUGGAUAACCUACCUAUAAGACUGGGAUAACUUCGGGAAACCGGAGCUAAUACCGGAUAACAUGUUGAACCGCAUGGUUCAACAGUGAAAGACGGUCUUGCUGUCACUUAUAGAUGGAUCCGCGCCGCAUUAGCUAGUUGGUAAGGUAACGGCUUACCAAGGCAACGAUGCGUAGCCGACCUGAGAGGGUGGUCCGCCACACUUGGACUGGGAACCGGUCCAGACUCCUACGGGGGGCAGCAGUAGGGAAUCUUCCGCAAUGGGCGAAAGCCUGACGGAGCCACGCCGCGUGAGUGAAGAAGGUCUUCGGAUCGUAAAACUCUGUUAUUAGGGAAGAACAAAUGUGUAAGUAACUAUGCACGUCUUGACCGUACCUAAUCAGAAAGCCACGGCUAACUACGGGC
RNAcentral lists this ribosomal RNA (498 nucleotides) under uncultured bacterium. RNAcentral describes it as "partial 16S ribosomal RNA". It matches the Rfam family "Bacterial small subunit ribosomal RNA", at positions 28 to 508 of the family's 1533-position model. The record is from RNAcentral.